GGGGAAGCAGAAAAAUGGAAUACAUCUUAAAGUAAGGCAGUACAAGCUUAGAUGAUGGCCAGGACACAGGUGGGAAAUUUAUGGAACUUUUAUCUUCAGCUGCAGCUGAUGGAUUCCUGGAGAAAACCCAGAGGUCAAGAGGGAAUCUGGAACAGUAUGUCAAAUGUGAUACCAGUGCUGAAGGGCCACUGCUUUUCAGAUAAAUGAGCUGGAGAAGCCCUGUGCCCAUUCUGGCAAUCCAGGUUGUGAGCACAGGAGCAGGAGGGGGAAACCAGACACCUCCAGCAUCACUCCGUGGCAGAUCCUUUUCCUGUAAAAGAUCAGGCUGUUCAAGCAGGGAUACAUUGCACUUCCAGGUUUCCAUUACCCCCUGCUGAUGCUGCA
Long non-coding RNA from Gallus gallus (chicken), 384 nucleotides. The record is from Ensembl. NCBI's taxonomy places the organism in Eukaryota, Metazoa, Chordata, Aves, Galliformes, Phasianidae.